Molecule: ribosomal RNA, 432 nt
Filed under: Triticum aestivum (bread wheat)
Lineage: Eukaryota; Viridiplantae; Streptophyta; Magnoliopsida; Poales; Poaceae
Description: partial small subunit ribosomal RNA
Source: RNAcentral
AUGCUAUAUAUAAUAUUGGAUGGAAGUAAACAAAGAAUAUAUAUGAGCUUUCAAGAUGUUUUAAAAGAGAAAUUUGAUGCAAGGCGAAAGAAUGAAGACUUAUCAUGGAAAAGACAUGAUGAUUACAAUGAGGCCCUAAAAUGGGCAAGAAGCUUAAUAAGGCAAAAUUAUUAUAUAGACCCAAAAGCUAAAGAAUAUAUCUUAAGUCGGAGAGGCAUAUGUAGCAACAUGACCACUCCAUCUUUUCCUAAAUAUACAAAGGGAGAAGCAUCAAGCUCCCAGAAGGUUAAAGAAGAAGAUUCCACUAAAUAUGAGACACACAAAGAAUGCCUUGUCAAAGGAGUCGAUCCUUUAGAUGGUGAAUAUAUAGACUCAGAAAUAAAUGAAAAAUUUGAACAACUUGCAAAAUCAAUGAAGGAAGAACUGAAAUAA